CAAAAGAAUAUGUGAAGGGAAGUAGGGUUUGGAUUCGUAUUUUAUUCCUCAUUGAUUUGUCCAAGAUGACAUUUAUGGAGUAAUCCCUAGUCACAUCUGAUUUUUUAUUUAAAAUUAAGGUCUUUCACUUCAAAUCGAAGGACACAGAGAAUUUAUAAUGCUGGGGGUUAAAGAGGCUCUAAUGUAAAACAGAUGAAAAGGGAAUGGAACUAAGGAAAGGCGAUUUGGAAGCCUCCCUCCCUCCCCCAUCAGCAGUCCUGAGGACCUCUGCUCCAGGUUGCUCAAAGUGUGAGCUUCCAUGAAUUACUGGGGGCAAUUGUUAAAAACGCAGAUUCCUGGGCCCCAUCCCUCUGGUUCAGACUUCAAAAAUUGACAUCUUUUGACAAGAACCUGCAGUGAUUCAUAUGUACUCUAAAGCUUCCAGAUGCAAGAAAGCCCCUUGGACUGGAGUGGGGUGCUCCAGAUAAUUUUAAUAAUUAAUCUGACAUUUGGGAGCCAUUCAACUACAUGGCUCUCUUAAGUGAUAUUAUCUCAGUCUGUAGUUCUCAAAGUGUGAUCCUGCAAUAUCAGCAACACCUGGAACUUUCAGAAAAGCACAUUCUUAGGCCCCACGGCAGCCCUGAAUCAGAAUCCGGGGCAUAGCCUAGCAAUCUAUGUUUUAACAAGCCCUGCAGGUGAUUCUGAUGCUGCUAAAGUUUGAAAACUGCUUGAUAAAACUCGCUCCCUAAAUCACAUUCCCCAACAAUUCAAUAACACACAUUGGCACCCUCUGAGCUGCUUCUCCCAGGAACUUCAGAAGGUCCAGGUUCAAAGAAGUUAGAGUCCUCAAGGAUCUGCUGGUGGCACUUUCUUUGCAUCCCUGACUUCAGUACUGGAGUGAUCAGGAGAAUGUCAAGUUUCAGGUGGUAGAAAGAAGUCUUUCUCUGAAUAUAAACAAAUGGUGGCUUUUAUAAAGUUUUAAUUUCAUUCUUUGUACUUUUCAGAUUUUCCAGCUGUUAAGCAAUUGGGAUCAGCAAGAAUACAGCACAUACCUGGAAAAUAAAAGCAAUCAGCACAAAGUGAUUUUGUCCACAGGAUGUACUACCUCUACCUUCCAGGCUGUGGUUCCACCGACUCUGCUUGGUCAAGAUCGCUUCUUACAUUCUGAUGAAGUGUCUCUGGGAACUGGCUGUCCUGUAACUAACAUAACUGAGAAGGGGUAUGAGUUUAAUUAUCUUGUCACCGAGUGUGGGAUUCAGAAAGAGGUAAGAAGAACUGUGACCAUUUCAAAAUAACAAACUAACCUGCCCCCCCCCCCCACCAAAUAAUCUUGCUGUGGCCACUGUGCUUAAGUCAGUGCAAGGCCAGAGAUCUCAUUUUUAUGACACUUGGGUUUGGUACUUUUAGGAUGGGAAGACCAAUGCGACCCAGGAAUUGGCCUUGAAGAGCUCUCGGCCCAUUAGGAGACAGUGCAGUGUCAUAUAUUUUAUUAUGACUUUUCAAGCACUCAUAAAUCUUUGGUCCUUAGAUCUCCUAGAAACACCAAAAAAAAAAAUAUCAUUUCCAGUUUUCAUGUUAAUACCUGAGCCUAAAAAUGCUGGCAGUUUACCACAGGUCAUGGAGCUCUCCAGCAGAAGGACUGAAAUUUAGAUAUUGGUAACUACAGAUUUACAUUCUUUUGAAGAAGGCAAUGGGAAAUUGUGGAUCACAAUAUAUUUUAGAGAUGGAAAACACUGGGAGGAUUCAGAGGAUGGAAAGAUUAGUGAAAGUUGGAUUAGAGGUGAAUUUUCUGGUACCUUGUUGGUAAUUUUUACAUCUCCAUGAAUGAGUUUGGGCUAUAAUUGCCCUUUCUAAUAUGCUUUAUCAUGUUUUGGAGUAGUUUGAGUAAGAUUUUUUGGUAUUUAUUUUUCUUUUUGGUUAUCUAACUAGAAUGAAGUUGAGUCCUAGUUGUUUUAAUACAACUGUGGAGUGGGAAGAGAGCUAGGGAAUGAAUCCAGGUUUCCUGACAAGAACUUUCAAAUGACUCAAUGCUGACCUUUGGUGGAGAAUGAAAAAGUGGGCUCUGCAUUUUAACAUGCAGUGGUUUUACACCGUGAGCUCGUGAGAAAUAUUGAGUGGAGAAUAACUCCAUGAUCUAUUGAGGGCAUGUGUGUGUGUGAGCCUGCUAUACAAACAGUUCUAGUUUCCUUCCAUAUACUUUCACAUCCACAAAACAUAUUGAUUCAACUUCUUUUUUGGAAGUUUGCAUAUUUCUAUUUUUUUUUUUUUGGUUUUAUGAACCUUUCCCACAUUUCAAAGCAUGACGUAAGAGAGAAAGCUAAAAACCUAAAAGGGGUAGUAGUCUGAUUUUAUGAAGUUUAUACUGAUUUUAUGAAGUUUAUACAGUUAAGUAAGAUACUAAGAGAGAUGCAUGGAGAUCAACUACAAUGUUAUUAUGGGGACGACAAACCAUGAAAU
RNAcentral lists this long non-coding RNA (2436 nucleotides) under Sus scrofa (pig). Its description in RNAcentral is "lncRNA (ENSSSCG00015018170.1)". Lineage: Eukaryota; Metazoa; Chordata; Mammalia; Artiodactyla; Suidae. The record is from RNAcentral.